UUUGCGGUAAGAAAUCCUUCACAAACAAUGUAAGUUUCAAUGUUCUAUCUUAUAUGAAAUAUCCAUCUCGUAAAUCCUACACAAACAAUGUAAGUUUCAAUAUUCUAUUUUAUAUGAAAUUUCCAAAUCCUAUUGUGAAAUGUCAUACAUAAUUAUCGAUUGUUUAUCGUAACAAAACGACGAUGCUUAUAAAUGAAUAGCUACCAAAAAACAUAAUGAAAAAGCAUAAACUAGUUAUUAGAGCUGCUCUCAACACACCCAUAAUACAAAUAU
RNAcentral lists this long non-coding RNA (273 nucleotides) under Olea europaea subsp. europaea. The record is from RNAcentral. Lineage: Eukaryota; Viridiplantae; Streptophyta; Magnoliopsida; Lamiales; Oleaceae.